Molecule: non-coding RNA, 1187 nt
Organism: Schizosaccharomyces pombe (fission yeast)
Lineage: Eukaryota; Fungi; Ascomycota; Schizosaccharomycetes; Schizosaccharomycetales; Schizosaccharomycetaceae
Source: the annotation of a GenBank genome assembly
AAUGGACACUUCGCAAUUAACAUAUGUUGGAGGCACUGGGAUCAUUAUGUCAAAUCGAGAUUCCCCAAAUAUUGCAGCACAUAAAAGUUUUAGACAACGAAGAUGAAUAAAACUGAUUAUAUUACGAAUUACACUUGAAUAUUUGUAAAAUUAUGAAGUAGUUCAAAAGGACUCUGAAUAAUUUGUCCGGUUCCUGAUGGACGUUGAAUAACGUGGGCAAUGCAGUGUCAAGGUAAUUGAAGUCAUUGUACUGAUCCAAGCUCUCUGUCUGCAUUACCACCUUCAAGAACGUACGUCAACUCAUCGAUCAAAGAAAUACGCCCGUCUUUAAAACUGUAAAAUGCAAUGACUUUGAUUCUGCUGGACUCGCCAGAGGAACGUAUCGCAUGGGCAAUAUGCACAGUGGCAGCCUUGUUACCUUGACAGACAAUUUGUUGAACGUUGAUGUCGAGCCGAUGAAGAUGGGUACGUAGUGCUUUGGCAUGAGAAAUAAAAUCGUCAAGUGUCAAUUCACGUCCAUCGACAAGCUGUCGAUAAUCUGGCGUUAAAAAUCCUCUAAGUGACUCAACGUCAGUACUAAAAUCCGUAAAUGCCUUAAACAGUUGCCGGAUGAACGAUUCUGAGUCUUGCGACAUUCGGAAAAAAUUUUUGGUGAUUAAGAGUGGGAAACAUAGGGUAAUGUGUCGCACAGUACUGUAAGUUAGGUUGAUGUAACUCAAAACUGAAAUAACAAAUCAAGUUUAGCUAUUUUUAAUCUUACCUCUAAAUAGUCGAUAUCAACAUAUACUUUUAAUCAUGCAAAGGUAAGUAAUACUACAAUGCGUUACACACGUUUUUUUUUAAAUCACACAUCAUUAGACAUUGGUGAAAAAAAAACCCCACUAAUUUUUAAAAAUUUUUUAUUUUUUUUUGGAAUUAGAUAACAAGUGUGUUUUUCCCUUCAAAUUCGACAAACAGAAUUAUUCAUUAUGACGACCCCAAGUUACGAAAAAAAAGAGGUUUAAAUUUGAAAUGGUUAAAUUCCUACUAGCUGGUAUAAUCCUCCUAAUAAAUUGUAUGAUAACCGUUUAGAGUACAUUUAAUAUUUAACUGAGUCAUUAUUCACAUAACCAGUUGAGUAGUUGAUAAAAUCCUUGGAGGUCUGAUUUAUAACGAGCUGCUCUUGCUCAUCAAUAUUUAUGUUUUAA